RNAcentral lists this ribosomal RNA (255 nucleotides) under Clostridioides difficile. RNAcentral describes it as "partial 16S ribosomal RNA". It matches the Rfam family "Bacterial small subunit ribosomal RNA", at positions 210 to 482 of the family's 1533-position model. Lineage: Bacteria; Bacillati; Bacillota; Clostridia; Peptostreptococcales; Peptostreptococcaceae. The record is from RNAcentral.
GUGAGCCAGUACAGGAUGGACCCGCGUCUGAUUAGCUAGUUGGUAAGGUAACGGCUUACCAAGGCGACGAUCAGUAGCCGACCUGAGAGGGUGAUCGGCCACAUUGGAACUGAGACACGGUCCAAACCCCUACGGGAGGCAGCAGUGGGGAAUAUUGCACAAUGGGCGAAAGCCUGAUGCAGCAACGCCGCGUGAGUGAUGAAGGCCUUCGGGUCGUAAAACUCUGUCCUCAAGGAAGAUAAUGACGGUACUUGA